RNAcentral lists this ribosomal RNA (372 nucleotides) under uncultured organism. RNAcentral describes it as "bacterial SSU rRNA". It matches the Rfam family "Bacterial small subunit ribosomal RNA", at positions 526 to 896 of the family's 1533-position model. The record is from RNAcentral.
CGUAGGUGGCAAGCGUUGUCCGGAAUUAUUGGGCGUAAAGCGCGCGCAGGCGGUUCCUUAAGUCUGAUGUGAAAGCCCCCGGCUCAACCGGGGAAGGUCAUCGGAAACUGGGGAACUUGAGUGCAGAAGAGAAGAGCGGAAUUCCACGUGUAGCGGUGAAAUGCGUAGAGAUGUGGAGGAACACCAGUGGCGAAGGCGGCUCUUUGGUCUGUAACUGACGCUGAGGCGCGAAAGCGUGGGGAGCAAACAGGAUUAGAUACCCUGGUAGUCCACGCCGUAAACGAUGAGUGCUAAGUGUUAGAGGGUUUCCGCCCUUUAGUGCUGCAGCUAACGCAUUAAGCACUCCGCCUGGGGAGUACGGCCGCAAGGCUG